ACCAGAGAAAAUCAUCUUUGUACUAAAACAUCCUUUACAUUAGAAUAUGUCAGCAAGGAUGAAAUAGACAAAC
This is a non-coding RNA of Callorhinus ursinus (northern fur seal), 73 nucleotides long. Lineage: Eukaryota; Metazoa; Chordata; Mammalia; Carnivora; Otariidae. The record is from RefSeq and is a predicted model, not a curated record.